CUGGGUUGGGGUUGGAAAAGAAACAGAGACACGGAGAAGAACAGAGAGAGAGAGAGAGAGAGAGAGAGAGAGAGAACAAAAAAAGAAAUGAAGGAGGAGAAGGCCGAGUUUCGGGAUCGGUUGAUAACUUCCGAUUGCGCAGAGGAAUCACUUUUUGAUAUCGGGGAUCAGCUUGGAGAACUAGGUAGGAAUCCUUAGUUAGUUGAUAGAUAUUCUUGUAUAUAGAAUGGACUUGAAAAUGUUACGACUUGAAAAUUUUGUUUAGUUGUAUCACUGAUGUGAGAGCAAAAAAAAAAGAAAUUUCCGGAAAAGUGUGUAUACAUAUUAGAGUUAAUGGAUUGGUUAUAUACUUUGGAAAUUUAUUGGAAA
Punica granatum (pomegranate) is the source of this 369-nucleotide non-coding RNA. The record is from RefSeq and is a predicted model, not a curated record. Lineage: Eukaryota; Viridiplantae; Streptophyta; Magnoliopsida; Myrtales; Lythraceae.